UCCGGUUUAUCACCGGCAGUCCCCUUAGAGUUCCCAGCUUUACCUGUUGGCAACUAAGGGUAAUGGUUGCGCUCGUUGCGGGACUUAACCCAACACUUCACAGCACGAGCUGACGACAGCCAUGCAGCACCUGUGUUAGCCUCCGAUUGGAUACGGUCGGCAGGACUUUCAUCCCACCUACUGCUAUCAUGUCAAGCCUAGGUAAGGUUCCUCGCGUAGCCUCGAAUUAAACCACAUGCUCCACCGCUUGUGCGGGUCCCCGUCAAUUUCUUUGAGUUUCAGUCUUGCGACCGUACUCCCCAGGUGGUAGAUUUAAUGUGUUAACUGCGGCACCGAAGGGUUCGACUCCUCCGACACCUAAUCUACAUCGUUUACGGUAGGGACUAC
Molecule: unclassified non-coding RNA, 387 nt
Filed under: uncultured bacterium
Lineage: Bacteria
Description: contains 16S-23S intergenic spacer region
Source: RNAcentral